This 445-nucleotide ribosomal RNA is filed under the name uncultured bacterium. RNAcentral describes it as "bacterial SSU rRNA". It matches the Rfam family "Bacterial small subunit ribosomal RNA", at positions 354 to 796 of the family's 1533-position model. The record is from RNAcentral.
GUAAGGAAUAUUGGUCAAUGGACGAAAGUCUGAACCAGCCAUGCCGCGUGAAGGAUGAAGGCCCUCUGGGUUGUAAACUUCUUUUAUCUGGGACGAAAAAAGGGUAUUCUUACUCACUUGACGGUACCAGAGGAAUAAGCACCGGCUAACUCCGUGCCAGCAGCCGCGGUAAUACGGAGGGUGCAAGCGUUAUCCGGAUUCACUGGGUUUAAAGGGUGCGUAGGUGGGUAUUUAAGUCAGUGGUGAAAUCUCCGAGCUUAACUCGGAAACUGCCAUUGAUACUAUUUACCUUGAAUGCCCUGGAGGUAAGCGGAAUAUGUCAUGUAGCGGUGAAAUGCUUAGAUAUGACAUAGAACACCAAUUGCGAAGGCAGCUUACUACGGGGUGAUUGACACUGAGGCACGAAAGCGUGGGGAGCAAACAGGAUUAGAUACCCGUGUAGUCC